AGUGAACGCUGGCGGUAGGCCUAACACAUGCAAGUCGAACGGCAGCACAGUAAGAGCUUGCUCUUACGGGUGGCGAGUGGCGGACGGGUGAGGAAUACAUCGGAAUCUACUUUUUCGUGGGGGAUAACGUAGGGAAACUUACGCUAAUACCGCAUACGACCUACGGGUGAAAGCAGGGGAUCUUCGGACCUUGCGCGAUUGAAUGAGCCGAUGUCGGAUUAGCUAGUUGGCGGGGUAAAGGCCCACCAAGGCGACGAUCCGUAGCUGGUCUGAGAGGAUGAUCAGGCACACUGGAACUGAGACAAGGUCCAGACUCCUACGGGAGGCAGCAGUUGGGAAUAUUUGACCAUGGGCGCAAGCCUGAUCCAGCCAUACCGCGUGGGUGAAGAAGGCCUUCGGGUUGUAAAGCCCUUUUGUUGGGAAAGAAAAGCAGCAGGUUAAUACCCCGCUGUUCUGACGGUACCCAAAGAAUAAGCACCGGCUAACUUCGUU
This 492-nucleotide ribosomal RNA is filed under the name uncultured bacterium. RNAcentral's name for it is "partial 16S ribosomal RNA". It matches the Rfam family "Bacterial small subunit ribosomal RNA", at positions 29 to 507 of the family's 1533-position model. The record is from RNAcentral.